RNAcentral lists this ribosomal RNA (465 nucleotides) under Vreelandella stevensii. RNAcentral's name for it is "partial 16S ribosomal RNA". It matches the Rfam family "Bacterial small subunit ribosomal RNA", at positions 338 to 795 of the family's 1533-position model. The record is from RNAcentral. Lineage: Bacteria; Pseudomonadati; Pseudomonadota; Gammaproteobacteria; Oceanospirillales; Halomonadaceae.
CCUACGGGUGGCAGCAGUGGGGAAUAUUGGACAAUGGGGGCAACCCUGAUCCAGCCAUGCCGCGUGUGUGAAGAAGGCCCUCGGGUUGUAAAGCACUUUCAGUGAGGAAGAACGCCUGGUGGUUAAUACCCAUCAGGAAAGACAUCACUCACAGAAGAAGCACCGGCUAACUCCGUGCCAGCAGCCGCGGUAAUACGGAGGGUGCGAGCGUUAAUCGGAAUUACUGGGCGUAAAGCGCGCGUAGGUGGCUUGAUAAGCCGGUUGUGAAAGCCCCGGGCUCAACCUGGGAACGGCAUCCGGAACUGUCAAGCUAGAGUGCAGGAGAGGAAGGUAGAAUUCCCGGUGUAGCGGUGAAAUGCGUAGAGAUCGGGAGGAAUACCAGUGGCGAAGGCGGCCUUCUGGACUGACACUGACACUGAGGUGAGAAAGCGUGGGUAGCAAACAGGAUUAGAUACCCGUGUAGUC